This is a long non-coding RNA of Triticum dicoccoides, 370 nucleotides long. RefSeq lists it as uncharacterized. The record is from RefSeq and is a predicted model, not a curated record. The transcript has 2 exons. Lineage: Eukaryota; Viridiplantae; Streptophyta; Magnoliopsida; Poales; Poaceae.
UCCAGACGAUGGCAGUCAUCAAGAGCAAUCGCACACAUGCCGUGGGUUCUUCAAUCUGCGUUGUUGUUAUGAUCAUCUCUUGCACUUUGAUCUUACCAACCUCUUGCUAUGAACUUGAUCGUCAUGAGGAGUGCAUGCCUACUCAAGUCUGCCAUUGGAACGUCUGCAAGAUCUUUUGCAGAUACAGCGGCCACCCUUGGCUUGGGGCCUACUGCAAGACUCGGCCAGGAGAUGUGAAACUAUGUUGUUGCAUUUAUUCCUGAAUCUCCAGUGAUGCAAGUUGUUGUUUGGGGCACUAAUAUUGCAGUUUCCUGUAUCCACCCGUUUGCGAUGCAGUCUCAAUAAAAGAGUUCUCUAGCGACUCAAUCAA